GACGAACGCUGGCGGCGUGCUUAACACAUGCAAGUCGAACGGAAAGGCCCUGCUUUUGUGGGGUGCUCGAGUGGCGAACGGGUGAGUAACACGUGAGUAACCUGCCCUUGACUUUGGGAUAACUUCAGGAAACUGGGGCUAAUACCGGAUAGGAGCUCCUGCUGCAUGGUGGGGGUUGGAAAGUUUCGGCGGUUGGGGAUGGACUCGCGGCUUAUCAGCUUGUUGGUGGGGUAGUGGCUUACCAAGGCUUUGACGGGUAGCCGGCCUGAGAGGGUUACCGGCGACAUUGGGACUGAGAUACGGACCAGACUCCUACGGGAGGCAGCAGUGGGGAAUAUUGCACAAUGGGCGGAAGCCUGAUGCAGCAACGCCGCGUGCGGGAUGACGGCCUUCGGGUUGUAAACCGCUUUCGCCUGUGACGAAGCGUGAGUGACGGUAAUGAGUAAAGAAGCACCGGCUAACUACGUG
Molecule: ribosomal RNA, 468 nt
Filed under: uncultured bacterium
Lineage: Bacteria
Description: partial 16S ribosomal RNA
Rfam family: Bacterial small subunit ribosomal RNA
Source: RNAcentral